ACAAUAAGUUACUAAGGGCUUAUGGUGGAUGCCUUGGCACUAAAAGGCGAUGAAGGACGUGUUAACCUGCGAUAAGCUUCGGGGAGGUGGUAAAAACCUGAGAUCCGGAGGUGUCCGAAUGGAGCAAUCUGGUAGCUUGCAAAAGUUACCAUUAAUUAAUGAAUUCAUAGUUAAUUAAAGCGAUACGUGGUGAAGUGAAACAUCUCAGUAACCACAGGAAAAGAAAACGAAUGUGAUUCCGUGUGUAGUGGCGAGCGAAAGCGGAACAGGCCAAACCUAUC
RNAcentral lists this ribosomal RNA (281 nucleotides) under Mycoplasmoides genitalium. RNAcentral's name for it is "Mycoplasma genitalium partial 23S ribosomal RNA". It matches the Rfam family "Bacterial large subunit ribosomal RNA", at positions 1 to 279 of the family's 2925-position model. The record is from RNAcentral. Lineage: Bacteria; Bacillati; Mycoplasmatota; Mycoplasmoidales; Mycoplasmoidaceae.